AGAGCCAAUGGUGAAUGCCUUGGCGCCGAACACCGAAGAAGGACGCGACUGGCUGCGAUAAGCCACGGGGAGCCGCCGAGUAGGCUUUGAUCCGUGGAUGUCCGAAUGGGGAAACCCGGCACCUUUAAUGUGGUGUCACUCCCGCCUGAACACAUAGGGCGGGUAGAGGGAACUGGGUGAACUGAAACAUCUAAGUAACCCAAGGAAAAGAAAGCAACAGCGACUCCCUGAGUAGCGGCGAGCGAAAUGGGAUGAGCCUAAACCGACCUGGUGCCAAGCCUGACGGCGUUGCCAGAUCGGGGUCGUGGGACCAAAUGGGAGGGGCGUCAGACCUUCCACAGAGUUAUAAAUCUGUCAGCUAGCAGAAGUGUCCUGGAAAGACACGCCAUAGCGGGUAAUAGCCCCGUAUGCGAAAGCUGAGCAGACUCUGAUUUGUGCUCCCGAGUAACACCGGAUCCGGGAAAGCCGGUGUGAAUCUGCGAGGACCACCUCGUAAGGCUAAGUAUACGUAGUCGACCGAUAGUGAACUAGUACCGUGAGGGAAAGGUGAAAAGUACCCCGGGAGGGGAGUGAAAUAGUACCUGAAACCAUUGGUUUACAAGCAGUUGAAGCGUAGUCACCUUCGGGUGGCCGCGACAGCGUGCCUUUUGAAGAAUGAGUCAGCGAGUUACGGUAUGUGGCAAGGUUAACCAGCGAUGGGAAGCCGGAGCGAAAGCGAGUCUGAAUAGGGCGUAGAGUCGCAUGCUGUAGACCCGAAGCCGGGUGAUCUAUCCAUGGGCAGGGUGAAGCGGAGGUAAGACUCCGUGGAGGCCCGAACCGACCUAGGUUGAAAACUGGGCGGAUGACCUGUGGAUAGGGGUGAAAGGCCAAUCAAACUCGGUGAUAGCUGGUUCUCCGCGAAAUGCAUUUAGGUGCAGCGUCGCAUGUUCAGUCAUGGAGGUAGAGCACUGGAUGGGUUAGGGGGCCUACAAGCUUACCAACCCCAGCCAAACUCCGAAUGCCAUGACUCCAGAGUGCGGCAGUGAGUCCUCGGGGGAUGAGCUUCGAUGGACGAAAGGGAAACAGCCCAGACCGCCGACUAAGGCCCCAAAGUUCUGACUAAGUGGUAAACGAAGUGGGAUUGCACAGACAGCCAGGAUGUUGGCUUAGAAGCAGCCAUCAUUAAAAGAGUGCGUAAUAGCUCACUGGUCGAGUGAUCCCGCGCGGAAAAUGUAACGGGGCUCAAGUCAGACGCCGAAGUCGCGGAUUUCUGCAUAGCAGGAGUGGUAGCGGAGCGUCGAGCCUGGAAUGAAGCGGCGGUGUGAACCGACGUGGACCGGGUUCGAGUGAGAAUGUAGGCAUGAGUAGCGAGAGAGGGGUGAGAAACCCCUCCGCCGGAAGUCCAAGGGUUCCUGGGGAAGGCUAAUCCUCCCAGGGUGAGUCGGGAGCUAAGGCGAGGCCGAGAGGCGUAGUCGAUGCACAACCGGUUGAUAUUCCGGUACCACAGGUUGCGCGACAAACGCUGACCUGCAGUUGCUAAGGGGAUGGUUGGUCCUUCGGGAUCAACAGGAACUAACCCACUGCGGCGAAGUGAGUGAUGCGGGGACGCAGGAAGGUAGAUGAUCCCAGGCGAUGGUUGUCCUGGGGCAAGCGUGUAGGUCGAGGCGUAGGUAAGUCCGCUCCUCAUAAAGACCGAGACGUGACGCCGAGCCGUUUAAGGCGAAGUCAUUGAUCCUAUGCUGCCAAGAAAAGCCGCUAGCGAGUGCAACAAGUGCCCGUACCCCAAACCAACUCAGGUGGACAGGUAGAGAAUACCAAGGCGAUUGGGAGAACUAUGGUUAAGGAACUCGGCAAAAUACAUCCGUAACUUCGGGAGAAGGAUGACCGCAUUAGGGUAAAAGAACUUAGCGUUCUUAGCUCGAAGCGGUGGCACAGACCAGGGGAAAGCGACUGUUUACUAAAAACACAGCAGCGUGCUAAGUCCUAAGACGACGUAUACGCUGUGACGCCUGCCCGGUGCCGGAAGGUUACGGGGAAGGGUUAGCUCUAGGGCGAAGCUCUGAACCUAAGCCCCGGUAAACGGCGGCCGUAACUAUAACGGUCCUAAGGUAGCGAAAUUCCUUGUCGGGUAAGUUCCGACCUGCACGAAUGGCGUAACGACUUUCCUACUGUCUCAACCAUAGACCCAGCGAAAUUGAAGUACGAGUAAAGAUGCUCGUUAGCUGCAGAAGGACGGAAAGACCCCGUGGACCUUUACUACAGCUUGGUAUUGGUAUUUGUUAUGCGUUGUGUAGGAUAGGUGGGAGACUUGGAAGCGUCUGCGCUAGCCGGUGUGGAGUCAACCUUGAAAUACCACCCUGCGUUUGACGGAUAUCUAACUUAUGCCAGUUAUCCGGGUCGGGAACAGUGCCAGGUGGG
Molecule: ribosomal RNA, 2397 nt
Filed under: marine metagenome
Description: bacterial LSU rRNA
Rfam family: Bacterial large subunit ribosomal RNA
Source: RNAcentral